AAAAGCUCGUAGUUGGAUUCAGAGGUGGGGUUGUGGGUCGGGUGUGGCCCGGCAGCUUGCCUCCGUGUGCCGCUCCCAAUCAACCCGCGUUUGCCCCAGCCUCCUAUCGCGCGGAAACGGAGUCCUGCUGGGGUCUCCUUAACUGGGGGUUCCAGCGCUUCCGCGCACAACGUGCGCUUACGGACCGUCCGUGGACGUUACUGUGAACAAAACAGCGUGUUCAAAGCAAGUGGCUUGCCUGCCCUGCAUGUUAAAGCAUGGAAUAACAAGGCAUCGACCACUCGGCGGUGCUUUUGUUGGUCUUUCCCUCCCGGUGGRAAUGCGCAGGCGUGCACACUGCCGGCCUUCUGGCCGGUCUGGGUGCCGUCUCUUCGAGAUCAAUAGGGGCAAACGGGGAGAUACCUAUUGUGGGGAGAGCGGUGAAAUGCGAUGACCCCCAUAAGAGGAACUUCAG
RNAcentral lists this ribosomal RNA (454 nucleotides) under uncultured marine eukaryote. RNAcentral's name for it is "bacterial SSU rRNA". It matches the Rfam family "Eukaryotic small subunit ribosomal RNA", at positions 624 to 956 of the family's 1831-position model. The record is from RNAcentral.